AAUAAAUACAGUUUUACACUAUUCAUGUCCUACAUUUGACUGUUCGUCUUAUUUGAAAUUUUUUAUGAUCAAUAUUAUAUUGAUAUUAGAUGAUAAAACAUGAACAUACUUGAUGUGUGACUAAUUUUUUUUUAAUUUUUUUCAUAAAUUUUUUUAAUAAGACGAACGGUUAAAUGUUGGACACAGAUACUCAUGGCUGUACUUAUU
Non-coding RNA from Oryza meridionalis, 207 nucleotides. Lineage: Eukaryota; Viridiplantae; Streptophyta; Magnoliopsida; Poales; Poaceae. The record is from Rfam.